GGAAUAUUGGACAAUGGGGGAAACCCUGAUCCAGCAAUGCCGCGUGAGUGAUGAAGGCCCUAGGGUUGUAAAGCUCUUUCGGUGGUGACGAUGAUGACGGUAACCACAGAAGAAGCCCCGGCUAACUCCGUGCCAGCAGCCGCGGUAAGACGGAGGGGGCUAGCGUUGUUCGGAAUCAUUGGGCGUAAAGAGCUCGUAGGCGGCUCAGUAAGUCGGGUGUGAAACCCCCAGGCUCAACCUGGGGACGCCACCCGAUACUGCUGUGGCUAGAGUCCAGUAGGGGAGUGUGGAAUUCCCGGUGUAGCGGUGAAAUGCGCAGAUAUCGGGAGGAACACCAGCGGCGAAGGCGGCACUCUGGGCUGGAACUGACGCUGAGGAGCGAAAGCGUGGGUA
This 393-nucleotide ribosomal RNA is filed under the name uncultured bacterium. RNAcentral describes it as "bacterial SSU rRNA". It matches the Rfam family "Bacterial small subunit ribosomal RNA", at positions 358 to 767 of the family's 1533-position model. The record is from RNAcentral.